AGCACCUACAGAUUCCACAGCGCUUGAUAUAAUCAGGGUUAGCAGCCACCAAGAGACAUAAUGCUGGAUGGCUGACAAGAUUAUGCUUAGUUCUCCAGUUACAAUUUUCCUAGAGGGGAUGGAGAGCUUAGCACUUGCAGAAUGACGGGAGAGACCAGAGACAAAACAUACACUUGUCUCUAGAGAAGGGAUUUACAAGAUCUUUUUCAGCAUUAGCUCAACCAUGAAAAUGAGGCCAAUAUGCUCCUCAGCACGAUCUUCCUAGUCAUAAAAAUCGUAAAAUUCUUUGCAGCAACCAAACUUCUUUUCUUCUUCCGUAGACUGUAAACAACCUGUUCCUCCUCUGAGCACUUCUACAGCUGAAUGUUAUAUAGAUGGAAAUAUUGCAGCAAUUUCAAGCCCAAUAAAAAAACAACAGGGUGGCCACUCAGUCUUCCAAUUCCAUGAAAGAAUAAAUUUUUUUAUAGAAAAAGGGGGGGGAAAAAAUGAACGCAAUUUACACUUGUUUAUCUAAUAUCAACUCCACAAGUUCACAUAUCAAGGGCUUUACUCUGGAGUUGUCACCACACAAAAGGACUUAGGAGCCAUAAGGAAAUCUGCUCUGGUAUGAUCCGCAUCUCAACAAACAUCGCCAUGCCAGGAUCUCCACCCGCCAGGCCGCAUCCUUCAGAGAGCCACAUUGAGAAACAGACAAGUCCUGCUCAUAGAAUACUUACUGCAACAAAUGCGCUGUACAUGGCCGAUAUUUUAUGAGAGUUUAAAGGAACCAGACUACAGUCUGACAUACUUCAGUCAACGCUGCCAGGUCCCCAUAGCCAUUUUAUACUGAGAACAUUUCUAACUAAAGAAAAUGAAGCAGCAGAAUGAAAAAUUCUAUAUCAUAUUCAUCACACAACGGGUCUGUUCUCAACAACCUCACCCCUAUGUGCACCAUGGAAAACAACUCCAACUGUCUAUAAAAAGCAACAUUCAGAUUCAUCCAUGACCCAAGAGUAUUACUUACUAGUAGAGAUUUACAAGGGGAAGGGGAUUUUCAACGUUUAAGAAAGAAAGCUAAUGAAAUA
Molecule: long non-coding RNA, 1064 nt
Organism: Hyla sarda
Lineage: Eukaryota; Metazoa; Chordata; Amphibia; Anura; Hylidae
Exons: 5
Source: RefSeq, a predicted model, not a curated record